GGUUAAGCGACUAAGCGUACACGGUGGAUGCCCUGGCAGUCAGAAGGCGAUGAAGGACGUGCUAAUCUGCGAAAA
Molecule: ribosomal RNA, 75 nt
Filed under: Klebsiella pneumoniae
Lineage: Bacteria; Pseudomonadati; Pseudomonadota; Gammaproteobacteria; Enterobacterales; Enterobacteriaceae
Description: Large Subunit Ribosomal RNA; lsuRNA; LSU rRNA
Source: RNAcentral